Molecule: ribosomal RNA, 437 nt
Filed under: uncultured bacterium
Lineage: Bacteria
Description: partial 16S ribosomal RNA
Rfam family: Bacterial small subunit ribosomal RNA
Source: RNAcentral
GAUGAACGCUGGCGGCAUGCUUAACACAUGCGAGUCGGACGGGAAGGGGUGUUUCCAGUGGCGGGCUGGUGAGUAACGCGUAAGAACCUGCCCUUGGGAGGGGAACAACGGCUGUAAACGGCUGCUAAUACCCCGUGGGCUGAGGCGCAAAAGGAGUAAUCCGCCCGAGGAGGGGCUUGCGUCUGAUUAGCUGGUUGGUGAGGCAAUAGCUUACGAAGGCGAUGAUCAGUCGCUGGUCCGAGAGGAUGAUCAGCCACACUGGGACGAAGACGCGGCGCCGACUACGGCGGGAGGCAGCAGUGGGGAAUGUACAGCAAGGGGAGAAAGGCUGAAGGAGCGAGGCGGCGGGGAGGUAGAAGGUCCGCGGGUCGUGAGCUGCUUUUCGCGGAGAAGCAGGAAUGACGGUAUCUGGUGAAUAAGCACCGGCUAACUCUGUG